GUAAGUAUAUAUAUGCACUGGAGUCAACAGGUAUCUCUUUUCUUCUCUUUGUUUGAAAAUCUCUACAAAAAAUGAAGGUUUAGGUACCCAAGGAUGUAUAAUAACAAAAAUAUUGUUUGACACUUGGUAGAAGAAUAAUUGGUUCCUGCAAUUUCUUCAGACCACUGUCAAUUUACCACCUUUUUUCUUUUAAAGGCCAAUGGAGUGGCCCUCACGCAGACAGUAAGUCAUGCCAUUAAAGUAAACAAGAAAACAAAUAAAAGCUAUACCUGUCAUGUUGUUUAAACUAUAUUGAUGAGAAGGGAAAACAGGCCAUAGAACUGAUUAUGUUUAUUAGAUAACAGGCAGCCUAUGCUGUCAUUGUGCUCUGACUUAAGGACUUGUCUAGCAAGAGGACAACGUUGCCUCUUAAAAACAGGAAUAUCUGAAAAGGAAGGAUGCACUGCUUUUCGAGGGCCUGCAUUUAUUUAUUUUUUUCCUUAGAUUUUUUUUUUUUCUAAUUACUGUCUUUAAGGUAGAUAAAUUUGAAAUUCACUGCCCUUAUAAAAAUAGCAAGUAUUGGCACAUCUCCUUUUAAAUAUACCUUGUUUAGGCUAGCUAAGACUUUGAGCUGCUGAAGAAAGAGCUACCCAUUGCAUGAUAGCUGUUAGAUGUUGGAUAGCUGUUAAGUUAGAUGAAUCACCUGCUGAAAACACCUUGUUUUCCUAAUUGCCUACAGAUGGAUCCCAGAUGAAAAGUGUAGUCUAAACACCUGGGGUGGGAAUUCAAUUGCUUAAAUAUAAGGUUUCAAAGCAGUUUAGCUCUUUUGGGUUACCUAGAAGGGGUUGUGCAGGGCUGGCAGAGAUGACCUAGUAUCUGUGGCUUCCUUUGACAUCUAAAGUUGACUGACAAAGAAGAUCAGGUAGAUUAGGCUGUUGAUACCUAAAUGAUACUGGGUAUUUGUGGUUUUAUUUUUGAAGUGCAUCUAGAAUGCUGCGGUUAGCAGAGGAAAGCUGCAGACAGAGGAAGGAAGUAGAGGGCAAGAAAGACACCGAGUUUACUGAAUACAACAAUUGUUUUUCUAACCCUGUGCAUGUGUGUGGAUGCUUGGUUUGGAAGGCACACCAGAGGGAAGACAAAUCAAUAAAAGCUGUUCUCACAGAAAUCUGAGGAGCUUCAGACGACAAAAUUAUUUGAUGAGCUGCCCUUUGAGUCAAUCAGCAUUAUUCCAUUGGAAAAAAAAAAAUGUAAACAAGCAAGGAUCAAAUUAAUACAUAAAGCAAAAGGAAUGGAUGUUGCUGUAAUUACGUUUAAUACAUCUGGACAAAAGGUGAGUUCCACAUCUGCCUUCGGUCUCUACAAUGGCUCAGCUCCACAUAAAGGGAGAGGCAUGAUUAUAGAUUAGAGCUGCCAUAGAUUUAGGCAGCUCUGCCACAUGUCAAAAUAAAUUUCCUAAAACAAAGCA
This 1444-nucleotide long non-coding RNA is filed under the name Anas platyrhynchos platyrhynchos (common mallard). RNAcentral's name for it is "lncRNA (ENSAPLG00000024152.1)". Lineage: Eukaryota; Metazoa; Chordata; Aves; Anseriformes; Anatidae. The record is from RNAcentral.